GACGAACGCUGGCGGCGUGCUUAACACAUGCAAGUCGAACGGAAAGGCCCUGCUUUCGUGGGGUGCUCGAGUGGCGAACGGGUGAGUAACACGUGAGUAACCUGCUCUUGACUUUGGGAUAACUUCAGGAAACUGGGGCUAAUACCGGAUAGGAGCUCCUGCUGCAUGGUGGGGGUUGGAAAGUUUCGGCGGUUGGGGAUGGACUCGCGGCUUAUCAGCUUGUUGGUGGGGUAGUGGCUUACCAAGGCUUUGACGGGUAGCCGGCCUGAGAGGGUGACCGGCCACAUGGGGACUGAGAUACGGCCCAGACUCCUACGGGAGGCAGCAGUGGGGAGUAUUGCACAAUGGGCGGGAGCCUGAUGCAGCAACGCCGCGUGCGGGAUGACGGCCUUCGGGUUGUAAACCGCUUUCGCCUGUGACGAAGCGUGAGUGACGGUAAUGGGUAAAGAAGCACCGGCUAACUACGUG
RNAcentral lists this ribosomal RNA (468 nucleotides) under uncultured bacterium. RNAcentral describes it as "partial 16S ribosomal RNA". It matches the Rfam family "Bacterial small subunit ribosomal RNA", at positions 28 to 507 of the family's 1533-position model. The record is from RNAcentral.